RNAcentral lists this ribosomal RNA (507 nucleotides) under uncultured bacterium. RNAcentral describes it as "partial 16S ribosomal RNA". It matches the Rfam family "Bacterial small subunit ribosomal RNA", at positions 28 to 507 of the family's 1533-position model. The record is from RNAcentral.
GACGAACGCUGGCGGCGUGCCUAAUACAUGCAAGUCGAACGCAUUUUCUUUCACCGUAGCUUGCUACACCGAAAGAAAAUGAGUGGCGAACGGGUGAGUAACACGUGGGUAACCUGCCCAUCAGCGGGGGAUAACACUUGGAAACAGGUGCUAAUACCGCAUAAUUCCAUUUACUGCAUGGUAGAUGGAUGAAAGGCGCUUUUGCGUCACUGAUGGAUGGACCCGCGGUGCAUUAGCUAGUUGGUGGGGUAACGGCCUACCAAGGCUGCGAUGCAUAGCCGACCCGAGAGGGUGAUCGGCCACACUGGGACUGAGACACGGCCCAGACUCCUACGGGAGGCAGCAGUAGGGAAUCUUCGGCAAUGGACGCAAGUCUGACCGAGCAACGCCGCGUGAGUGAAGAAGGUUUUCGGAUCGUAAAACUCUGUUGUUAGAAAAGAACAAGGAUGAGAGUGGAAAGUUCAUCCCUUGACGGUAUCUAACCAGAAAGCCACGGCUAACUACGUG